This is a small nucleolar RNA of Microcebus murinus (gray mouse lemur), 127 nucleotides long. Its record names the gene SNORA63. It matches the Rfam family "Small nucleolar RNA SNORA63". From Rfam's summary of the family: E3 belongs to the H/ACA class of snoRNAs and is involved in the processing of eukaryotic pre-rRNA and has regions of complementarity to 18S rRNA. The record is from Ensembl. NCBI's taxonomy places the organism in Eukaryota, Metazoa, Chordata, Mammalia, Primates, Cheirogaleidae.
AUGUGGGUACUAUUACAAUAUAAUUGAAGUGUUUUAUUGUUGUUCCCCCUGCUUAAAGCCUUUGAUACAUAACUAUCUCUGUCUAACUUCAUUUCAUAGUAAGACAGGGAUUUUUAGUCUCAAGCAU